AUCUCUGUGGCGAAAUUGGUUAUACGCAACGAUUUUAAAGAUCGUCCUCCUUUGGAGAUGUGAGUUCGAGUCUCACCAGAGAUA
This 84-nucleotide transfer RNA is filed under the name Amoebidium parasiticum. Its description in RNAcentral is "tRNA-Leu". It matches the Rfam family "tRNA". From Rfam's summary of the family: Transfer RNA (tRNA) molecules are approximately 80 nucleotides in length. Their secondary structure includes four short double-helical elements and three loops (D, anti-codon, and T loops). Further hydrogen bonds mediate the characteristic L-shaped molecular structure. tRNAs have two regions of fundamental functional importance: the anti-codon, which is responsible for specific mRNA codon recognition, and the 3' end, to which the tRNAs corresponding amino acid is attached (by aminoacyl-tRNA synthetases). tRNAs cope with the degeneracy of the genetic code in two manners: having more than one tRNA (with a specific anti-codon) for a particular amino acid; and 'wobble' base-pairing, i.e. permitting non-standard base-pairing at the 3rd anti-codon position. Lineage: Eukaryota; Ichthyosporea; Ichthyophonida; Amoebidiaceae. The record is from RNAcentral.